AUUGAACGCUGGCGGCAUGCUUUACACAUGCAAGUCGAACGGUAACAGGCCUUCGGGCGCUGACGAGUGGCGAACGGGUGAGUAAUGCAUCGGAACGUGCCCAGUCGUGGGGGAUAACGCAGCGAAAGCUGCGCUAAUACCGCAUACGAUCUGUGGAUGAAAGCGGGGGACCUUCGGGCCUCGCGCGAUUGGAGCGGCCGAUGUCAGAUUAGGUAGUUGGUGGGGUAAAGGCUCACCAAGCCGACGAUCUGUAGCUGGUCUGAGAGGACGACCAGCCACACUGGGACUGAGACACGGCCCAGACUCCUACGGGAGGCAGCAGUGGGGAAUUUUGGACAAUGGGGGCAACCCUGAUCCAGCAAUGCCGCGUGCAGGAAGAAGGCCUUCGGGUUGUAAACUGCUUUUGUACGGAACGAAAAGGCUCUGGUUAAUACCUGGGGCACAUGACGGUACCGUAAGAAUAAGCACCGGCUAACUACGUG
This 482-nucleotide ribosomal RNA is filed under the name uncultured bacterium. RNAcentral describes it as "bacterial SSU rRNA". It matches the Rfam family "Bacterial small subunit ribosomal RNA", at positions 30 to 507 of the family's 1533-position model. The record is from RNAcentral.